This 453-nucleotide ribosomal RNA is filed under the name uncultured bacterium. RNAcentral describes it as "partial 16S ribosomal RNA". It matches the Rfam family "Bacterial small subunit ribosomal RNA", at positions 28 to 523 of the family's 1533-position model. The record is from RNAcentral.
GAUGAACGCUGGCGGUCUGCUUAACACAUGCAAGUCGAACGGAAUCCUUCGGGAUUUAGUGGCGGACGGGUGAGUAACGCGUGAGAAUCUGCCUUCAGGUUCGGGACAACAGCUGGAAACGGCUGCUAAUACCGGAUGUGCCGAGAGGUGAAAGCUUUAGUGCCUGAAGAUGAGCUCGCGUCUGAUUAGCUAGUAGGAGUGGUAAUGGCACCCCUAGGCGACGAUCAGUAGCUGGUCUUAGAGGAUGAUCAGCCACACUGGGACUGAGACACGGCCCAGGCUCCUACGGGAGGCAGCAGUGGGGGAUGUUCCGCAAUGGGCGCAAGCCUGACGGAGCAAGACCGCGUGAGGGAAGCAGGUCUGUGGAUUGUAAACCUCUUUUGAUGGGGAAGAAGACAGUGACGGUAGCCAUCGAGUCAGCCUCGGCUAACUCCGUGCCAGCCGCCGCAGUAA